This 76-nucleotide transfer RNA is filed under the name Candidatus Pacebacteria bacterium RIFOXYA1_FULL_38_18. RNAcentral describes it as "tRNA-Thr". It matches the Rfam family "tRNA". Rfam says of the family: Transfer RNA (tRNA) molecules are approximately 80 nucleotides in length. Their secondary structure includes four short double-helical elements and three loops (D, anti-codon, and T loops). The record is from RNAcentral. Lineage: Bacteria; Bacillati; Minisyncoccota. RNAcentral also lists the same sequence under 3 other names.
GCCAGAAUAGCUCAGUUGGUAGAGCGGCGGUAUCGUAAACCGUAGGUCCUGGGUUCGACUCCCAGUUCUGGCUCAA